Molecule: ribosomal RNA, 250 nt
Filed under: uncultured prokaryote
Description: partial 16S rRNA
Rfam family: Bacterial small subunit ribosomal RNA
Source: RNAcentral
ACGUAGGGGGCAAGCGUUAUCCGGAAUUAUUGGGCGUAAAGAGUGCGUAGGUGGUUUUUUAAGCGUGAGGUGAAAGGCAAUAGCUUAACUAUUGUAAGCCUUGCGAACUGGAAGACUUGAGUGCAGGAGAGGAAAGUGGAAUUCCUAGUGUUGCGGGUAAAAGCGUUAAUAUUAGGAGGAACCCCAGGUGCGAAGGCGGCCUUCUGGACCGUAACUUACACUGAGGCACGGAAGCGUUGGGAGCAAACAG